GGGUGAUGGUGAUGGUGGUGGGGGUGAUGGCGUGUACUCUACACACGGUGGUGGUGGUGGUGGUGGUGGAGGUGGCUCAAUACAUGGAGGAGGUGACGGUGGUGGUGGUGAGUGAACUGGAGGAGGUGGGGAAUAAACAGGAGGUGGCGGCGGCGGUGGAGAUAAGUAUGGAUAAAUUGGUGGAGGAGGUGAAUGUGGUGGUGGUGGUGGAGAAUGUACCGGAGGUGGCGGUGAAUGGUGUGGCGGUGGCGGGGAGUUAUAGUAGUAAGGAACUGGUGGAGGUGGGGAAAACAAUGGAGGUGGUGGAGGGGGUGAAUUUGGUGGUGGAGGAGGUGGAGACCUCACACAGUAUACUGGUGAAGGUGGUGGAGGAGAUGGUGGAGGUGGUGAUGGAUAAGUAGGUGGCGGGGGUGAUGGUGGAGGUGGGGAUGGAGGUGGUGGUGGUGGAGAGUAAACUGGUGGAGGUGGUGAAGGUGGUGGAGGUGAGGGGGGUGGUGGUGGAGGUGAAUACACAGGUGGCGGGGGCGAUGGUGGAGGCGGAGGAGGAGAGUACACAGGUGGCGGCGGAGGUGGAGGUGGUGAAGGGGGAGGGGGAGAGUAUACUGGCGGUGGCGGCGGCGGAGGUGGUGAUUGUGGAAUAAAAACAGGCGAUGGGGGUGGCGGUGACAGCACAACAACCGGCGGCGGAGAAGGCGGAGGAGGAGACGGCAAAGAAGGAACAAAAGGAGCACAUCUAAAUGAAUUACAAUCCACCGGUCUAGACAAGAAAGACCUACAUUGAGCAGCACUCCGUUGUAAAGGCCUCGCCGGCAAACAGUUCCUCCUAUCGUCAAAAGCACGUAACCCC
RNAcentral lists this long non-coding RNA (847 nucleotides) under Gossypium raimondii (Peruvian cotton). Its description in RNAcentral is "long non-coding RNA (GRAI_LNC000005)". The record is from RNAcentral. Lineage: Eukaryota; Viridiplantae; Streptophyta; Magnoliopsida; Malvales; Malvaceae.